Molecule: long non-coding RNA, 754 nt
Filed under: Homo sapiens (human)
Lineage: Eukaryota; Metazoa; Chordata; Mammalia; Primates; Hominidae
Description: novel transcript
Source: RNAcentral
AGGGGCGCGCGCAUGCGCGCGGGGGACGGUUCCCGUGCUGCUAGGCCUGCCGCCGCUUCCUGUCCGCCGGCGGAGAGCUGGGAUUGGGCUUGGGAGGCGGGGUUUGUCCUGGUCCCGCCCCGGGGCGGGAGCGCUCCUACGCGGAGAUAGUGCUCCGCUACGUGUUAGAGCUGCUGAGGACCUUCCCUUGGGCUAAAAUGGUCCGUGGAAGAUGAACCAUUCAGACUGCAUCCUUUGCCUCUUACUCUCCCAAAGGAAGAGAAGAACAAUCAUCAAUGGCAAAUGGCAGUUGCAGUGAAGCAACACCAGGACCCGGCUUCACGCUCAGGAGAGAACGCUGCGCCUCCUCCUUGUGGUUUCUGGUGUUCUACACAUUCAGAGAAAAUUCUCUAGUAACGAACUAUACAAAUGAUCCCUGAAAGUAUAGUCUUCCUUUUUUUUUUUCUUUUACAAAAUGUGAAAACUGAAGAGAGGUUAAUUUACGAAUUUAAUUUUACCCAAGCUUGUAAAAUUAGUCAGUGGCAGGACCAGGUUCUUGUGGUCUCCAUUCAUCACACUUUCGGUUACAUUGGGUUGCCUCCAUGUGACCAUGCUUCAUAUUCUCUUUUGUGCCCCAAAGCACCACAUCUAGAUAGUCAGUGAAAAUUAUGGAGGUUCAUUAUUGUGAUUAUAAACCAAAUGGGUCAGAAUUCUUACUGUAUGCAUAUUAACAAUUGACAACUAUACUUCUCAACAAUGCAAGUAGUUUUUGACU